CUUCAGGCAGUUUCAAAUUUGUAUCAACAUCUGACUGUUUGGUUACUGACACUGUUGUAUCCGUCGACUUGUCAACGGAAUCGCCAGUAAACUGCACUGAAACAUCAGGAGGAGCAGAAGUAGAUGCCUUCUUCAGACUGCGUUUUGGUUUCUCAUUGUCAACCUCCAACCUCUCAGAAGCUUCUUUCACGGAGUUGGGAACUUUUCUUGUAUUGCGUUUUACCUUCUCAAUAUCACUUUGUGCAUGUUCUUGAACAGAAUCAACUAGGUGGCUGGAAACUUUCCUGGGAUUGCGUUUAGGUUUCUCGGAUUCUAAAGCAAAUUGACUUGAGUUGUUCUCAAUAUUAGUACGGGCUGAUUUUCGGAUGUUUCGCUUUGACAUGCCUUUUUCAUUUUCUAUGGUUUGAGAAUUGCCACGCUUGGUCUCGGACUUUGAUUGGACGUUCCUC
RNAcentral lists this long non-coding RNA (449 nucleotides) under Citrus sinensis (sweet orange). Its description in RNAcentral is "long non-coding RNA (CSIN_LNC002797)". The record is from RNAcentral. Lineage: Eukaryota; Viridiplantae; Streptophyta; Magnoliopsida; Sapindales; Rutaceae.